Paramuricea clavata is the source of this 331-nucleotide non-coding RNA. The record is from the annotation of a GenBank genome assembly. NCBI's taxonomy places the organism in Eukaryota, Metazoa, Cnidaria, Anthozoa, Malacalcyonacea, Plexauridae.
GUCGAGUGGGCUCUGGAGAAACGAUAGCACGUCAAGAAUAGAUGUUUUCACCCGCCAUUUGGCUUCGCACGAAUAAUUAAUAAUUCCGUUGGUCUCAAUAUGGAAAUCAUUGUUAAUGAGCUGUAUGCGAUUAACACUUAAGUGACUACCCUUACUAGGAGAAGACUUACAGAUUAUCCAAUAUAUAUAAAUAGUGUUUAUAAAAAAUGUUUAGUAAGACCAAAUAUUGUCGAGUUUGAUAUAUGAAGAUUAUAUGUUUUUUUAUUGGAUGAGAAUUGUACCCGAGACCAUUGCGGUUGUAUAUUAAAACGAGGCUUAAAUUGCUAACCUG